UACGAGGGGGGCAAGUGUUGUUCGGAUUUACUGGGUGUAAAGGGAGUGUAGGCGGUUUGGUAAGUCAGGGGUGAAAUGUCCAUGCUUAACGUGGUCACUGCCUUUGAAACUGCCAGACUUGAAUGUUGGAGAGGGUAACGGAAUUCCAGGUGUAGCGGUGGAAUGCGUAGAUAUCUGGAAGAACACCAGUUGCGAAGGCGGUUACCUGGCCAAACAUUGACGCUGAGGCUCGAAAGCCGGGGGAG
RNAcentral lists this ribosomal RNA (245 nucleotides) under uncultured bacterium. RNAcentral's name for it is "partial 16S ribosomal RNA". It matches the Rfam family "Bacterial small subunit ribosomal RNA", at positions 524 to 768 of the family's 1533-position model. The record is from RNAcentral.